RNAcentral lists this ribosomal RNA (505 nucleotides) under uncultured bacterium. Its description in RNAcentral is "partial 16S ribosomal RNA". It matches the Rfam family "Bacterial small subunit ribosomal RNA", at positions 28 to 507 of the family's 1533-position model. The record is from RNAcentral.
GACGAACGCUGGCGGCGUGCCUAAUACAUGCAAGUAGAACGCACAGUUUAUACCGUAGCUUGCUACACCAUAGACUGUGAGUUGCGAACGGGUGAGUAACGCGUAGGUAACCUGCCUGGUAGCGGGGGAUAACUAUUGGAAACGAUAGCUAAUACCGCAUAAUAUUAAUUAUUGCAUGAUAAUUAAUUGAAAGGUGCAAUUGCACCACUACCAGAUGGACCUGCGUUGUAUUAGCUAGUAGGUGAGGUAACGGCUCACCUAGGCGACGAUACAUAGCCGACCUGGGAGGGUGAUCGGCCACACUGGGACUGGGACACGGCCCAGACCCCUACGGGAGGCAGCAGUAGGGGAUCUUCGGCAAUGGACGAAAGUCUGACCGAGCAACGCCGCGUGAGUGAAGAAGGUUUUCGGAUCGUAAAGCUCUGUUGUAAGAGAAGAACGGGUGUGAGAGUGGAAAGUUCACACUGUGACGGUAUCUUACCAGAAAGGGACGGCUAACUACGUG